This 647-nucleotide ribosomal RNA is filed under the name Sphenophorus sp. AD24. RNAcentral describes it as "SSU rRNA". It matches the Rfam family "Eukaryotic small subunit ribosomal RNA", at positions 382 to 940 of the family's 1831-position model. Lineage: Eukaryota; Metazoa; Arthropoda; Insecta; Coleoptera; Curculionidae. The record is from RNAcentral.
AUUCCGGAGAGGGAGCCUGAGAAACGGCUACCACAUCCAAGGAAGGCAGCAGGCGCGCAAAUUACCCACUCCCGGCACGGGGAGGUAGUGACGAAAAAUAACGAUACGGGACUCAUCCGAGGCCCCGUAAUCGGAAUGAGUACACUCUAAACCCUUUAACGAGGAUCAAUUGGAGGGCAAGUCUGGUGCCAGCAGCCGCGGWAWUUCCAGCUCCWWUAKMRKABRUKWAAGUUGUUGCGGUUAAAAAGCUCGUAGUCGAAUUUGUGUCUCGCGCCGACGGUUCAUCGUCCGCGGUGUUAACUGGCGCGCAGCGGGACGUCCUGCCGGUGGGCUUAGCUCCCCGUUGUCGUGGUCCUGGCGAGCGGGCAGUAAUGCUCGUUCUCAGGUCGCCGCGGCAUUCGGCGGCGGCCCAACUCAAUCCCGCCGCGGUGCUCUUCACUGAGUGUCGAGGUGGGCCGGCACGUUUACUUUGAACAAAUUAGAGUGCUUAAAGCAGGCUAAAAUUUCGCCUGAAUACUGUGUGCAUGGAAUAAUGGAAUAGGACCUCGGUUCUAUUUUGUUGGUUUUCGGAACCCCGAGGUAAUGAUUAAUAGGAACGGAUGGGGGCAUUCGUAUUGCGACGUUAGAGGUGAAAUUCUUGGAUCGUC